AUUGAACGCUGGCGGCAGGCCUAACACAUGCAAGUCGAGCGAGAAAGGUCUUCGGACUGAGUACAGCGGCGGACGGGUGAGUAACGCGUAGGAAUCUACCCAGUAGUGGGGGACAACUUGGGGAAACCCAAGCUAAUACCGCAUACGCCCUAAGGGGGAAAGCAGGGGAUCUUCGGACCUUGCGCUAUUGGAUGAGCCUGCGUCGGAUUAGCUAGUUGGUGGGGUAAAAGCCUACCAAGGCGACGAUCCGUAGCUGGUCUGAGAGGACGAUCAGCCACACUGGGACUGAGACACGGCCCAGACUCCUACGGGAGGCAGCAGUGGGGAAUAUUGCGCAAUGGGGGAAACCCUGACGCAGCCAUGCCGCGUGUGUGAAGAAGGCUCUAGGGUUGUAAAGCACUUUUCAAAUUGGGAGAAAAAGCCAAACGGCUAAUACCUGUUGGUCUUGAUGUUACCUUUAGAAGAAGCACCGGCUAACUCCGUG
RNAcentral lists this ribosomal RNA (484 nucleotides) under uncultured bacterium. Its description in RNAcentral is "bacterial SSU rRNA". It matches the Rfam family "Bacterial small subunit ribosomal RNA", at positions 30 to 507 of the family's 1533-position model. The record is from RNAcentral.